This 252-nucleotide ribosomal RNA is filed under the name uncultured bacterium. Its description in RNAcentral is "partial 16S ribosomal RNA". It matches the Rfam family "Bacterial small subunit ribosomal RNA", at positions 524 to 776 of the family's 1533-position model. The record is from RNAcentral.
UACGUAGGUGGCAAGCGUUGUCCGGAAUUAUUGGGCGUAAAGCGCGCGCAGGCGGCCUCUUAAGUCUGAUGUGAAAGCCCCCGCUCAACCGGGGAGGGCCAUUGGAAACUGGGAGGCUUGAGUAUAGGAGAGAAGAGUGGAAUUCCACGUGUAGCGGUGAAAUGCGUAGAGAUGUGGAGGAACACCAGUGGCGAAGGCGACUCUUUGGCCUAUAACUGACGCUGAGGCGCGAAAGCGUGGGGAGCAAACAGG